UGGGGAAUUUUGGACAAUGGGGGAAACCCUGAUCCAGCCAUCCCGCGUGUGCGAUGAAGGCCUUCGGGUUGUAAAGCACUUUUGGCAGGAAAGAAACGUCGCGGGUUAAUACCCCGCGAAACUGACGGUACCUGCAGAAUAAGCACCGGCUAACUACGUGCCAGCAGCCGCGGUAAUACGUAGGGUGCAAGCGUUAAUCGGAAUUACUGGGCGUAAAGCGUGCGCAGGCGGUUCGGAAAGAAAGAUGUGAAAUCCCAGAGCUUAACUUUGGAACUGCAUUUUUAACUACCGGGCUAGAGUGUGUCAGAGGGAGGUGGAAUUCCGCGUGUAGCAGUGAAAUGCGUAGAUAUGCGGAGGAACACCGAUGGCGAAGGCAGCCUCCUGGGAUAACACUGACGCUCAUGCACGAAAGCGUGGGGAGCAAACAGGAUUAGAUACCCUGGUAGUCCACGCCCUAAACGAUGUCAACUAGCUGUUGGGGGCCUUCGGGCCUUGGUAGCGCAGCUAACGCGUGAAGUUGACCGCCUGGGGAGUACGGUCGCAAGAUUAAAACUCAAAUGAAUUGACGGGGUCAUAGCUG
This 580-nucleotide ribosomal RNA is filed under the name uncultured bacterium. Its description in RNAcentral is "partial 16S ribosomal RNA". It matches the Rfam family "Bacterial small subunit ribosomal RNA", at positions 355 to 932 of the family's 1533-position model. The record is from RNAcentral.